UGCCGAAGUCCUGGCCAACUCGCUGGAUA
Molecule: small RNA, 29 nt
Filed under: Bombyx mori (domestic silkworm)
Lineage: Eukaryota; Metazoa; Arthropoda; Insecta; Lepidoptera; Bombycidae
Description: ovarian small RNA-33765
Source: RNAcentral